UCGUAUAUGACUGAUAUAUUCUAGAUUUUUUUUUUUUUUAAGAGAUAGAUGAUAUGCUCUACGCUUCGUUUAUUUCAUUUAAAAAUAAACUUAGCUGGAUAUGUGAAUCAACUAGAAUUCGAACUUAUAAUUUUGAAUGCAUUAAGCCUUUUGUCACUUGAGCUAGGAACGGUCGAUGCAGAUCGUAGUGGUUAAAAUGAAGAGUAGUGCUACAAGUACACCCCUGUUUGGGGUAUACAUCCUACAACUGCCAAACCAAACGGUUGAGAAUAAUGAGAUUUUUUUAUUAAAAAGUGUUGAUAACUUUACUCCCUCUUUUUCUUUUUUUUUUAUCUUUUCUUUCCCUAUUUUCCUCCCGACUUUCUCUUCGCUCCCUCCUCUUUUUGUCCAUCUUCACUUCCUCUCUCUUUCUUCGUCUUUCGUCGAUUCUUCGACGAAUUCGUGUCCUGUGGCCAUCCGCCUGUUCUCUUAUUCUAUUUUCGGCUAGAGUUCUCAGUUCUCAUCUGCUAAUUUUUCUCUUUAAUUUGUUCCCACUUGUGCAUCCUUCUCGGUUGUCAUUUUUAACUCUAUCCUACGCCAGUCACGAUAGCCGCGUCCCAUAUUAGAUGAGAUGUAAAGAUUAGGAUGAAGUUGUAAAUUUGAGGUAGAAAAUAUAGAAAUUAGUUAGGUGUUUUUUUUUUUUUUUUUUGAGAGAGAUAGGUAGCACACUACCCGCUUCAUUUAUUUUAUUUUAAAAUAAACUUACCUAGAAAUGUGAAUCAAGUAGGAUUCGAACUUGGGACGGUACUAACCACCAAGUCUUUUACCACUUGGUUUAGGGACGGUCCGUAAUUAGUUGGGUGUAGUUAAGGAUAGAAUUAGUUAGGUGUAGUUGAGACUUGAGAAAUUAUAAAAAUUUUUA
This 901-nucleotide long non-coding RNA is filed under the name Ananas comosus (pineapple). Its description in RNAcentral is "long non-coding RNA (ACOM_LNC000236)". Lineage: Eukaryota; Viridiplantae; Streptophyta; Magnoliopsida; Poales; Bromeliaceae. The record is from RNAcentral.